Molecule: long non-coding RNA, 205 nt
Organism: Arabidopsis thaliana (thale cress)
Lineage: Eukaryota; Viridiplantae; Streptophyta; Magnoliopsida; Brassicales; Brassicaceae
Product: other RNA
Exons: 1
Source: RefSeq
CGUGACUAUCUUUGGUUAACGUAGUUUUCAUUUGUAAUUCUAUCUCUCUACAGUUCUAAAUCAGUAAAUCCGAUUGUAUAGUUUAAUGCUGUCUCUACCAUUGCACAUAAUUUUUUGCCUUGAUACCAUCAUCUGGAAGAGGUCUCUGCAAACUCGGUUCCACUCCAUCUAUGAAUAACAAGCGCAGCAGAACAGGUACAAGUAU